RNAcentral lists this ribosomal RNA (515 nucleotides) under uncultured bacterium. RNAcentral describes it as "bacterial SSU rRNA". It matches the Rfam family "Bacterial small subunit ribosomal RNA", at positions 19 to 518 of the family's 1533-position model. The record is from RNAcentral.
CUGGUUCAGAACGAACGCUGGCGGCGCGUCUUAAGCAUGCAAGUCGGACGGCAAGGGUUGUGCUUGCACAACUCCUAGAGUGGCGGACUGGUGAGUAACGCGUGGGUGACCUGCCCUCGAGAUGGGGAUAGCCAUUAGAAAUAGUGGAUAAUACCGAAUACGCUCAUGACCCUGUGGGGAUAUGAGGAAAACAGGCUACGGCCUGGCUCGAGGAUGGGCCCGCGUCCCAUUAGCUAGUUGGUGAGGUAACGGCCCACCAAGGCGACGAUGGGUAUCCGGCCUGAGAGGGUGUACGGACACAUUGGGACUGAGAUACGGCCCAAACUCCUACGGGAGGCAGCAGCUAAGAAUAUUCCGCAAUGGACGAAAGUCUGACGGAGCGACGCCGCGUUGGAUGAAGAAGGCCGGAAGGUUGUAAAAUCCUUUUGAAACUGAAGAAUAAGCGUUGUAGGGAAUGACAGCGUGGUGACAGUAGGUUUUGAAUAAGCAACGGCUAAUUACGUGCCAGCCGCCGC